Molecule: ribosomal RNA, 813 nt
Filed under: uncultured Fibrobacterota bacterium
Lineage: Bacteria; Pseudomonadati; Fibrobacterota
Description: bacterial SSU rRNA
Rfam family: Bacterial small subunit ribosomal RNA
Source: RNAcentral
CAAGUCGAGCGCGUAGCAAUACGAGCGGCGCACGGGUGAGUAACACGUAAAGAAUCUGCCCUAAAGUGGGGAAUAACUAUCCCAACGGAUAGCUAAUACCGCAUAAGGACGGGAGUGGCAUCACUCCUACUCGAAAGGCUUCGGCCGCUUUAGGAUGACUUUGCGUCCCAUUAGCUUGUUGGCGGUGUAACGGACCACCAAGGCGACGAUGGGUAUCCGGCCUGAGAGGGUGUACGGACACAUUGGGACUGAGAUACGGCCCAGACUCCUACGGGAGGCAGCAGUAGGGAAUUUUGCGCAAUGGGGGAAACCCUGACGCAGCAACGCCAUGUGUGGGAUGAAGCAUUUCGGUGUGUAAACCACUGUCAGCAGGGAAUAAACAGCUUCUUCGGAGGCGAUUGAAUGUACCUGCAAAGGAAGCCCCGGCUAACUUCGUGCCAGCAGCCGCGGUAAUACGAGGGGGGCAAAUGUUGUUCGGAAUCACUGGGCGUAAAGGGAGCGUAGGCGGGUGUUUAAGUUAGGUGUUUAAUCCCGGGGCCCAACCCCGGUCGUGCACCUAAAACUGGGCAUCUUGAAUAGUGGAGAGGUCAGUGGAAUUGGGGGUGUAGCGGUGGAAUGCGUAGAGAUCCCCAAGAACACCAGUUGCGAAGGCGGCUGACUGGACACAUAUUGACGCUGAGGCUCGAAAGCAUGGGGAGCAAACAGGAUUAGAUACCCUGGUAGUCCAUGCUAUAAACGAUGAAUACUAGGUUUUGGGCCCGUCAACGGUCCAGAGCCGCAGCUAACGCGUUAAGUAUUCCGCCUGGGGAGUAC